UUUUGUAUCUGUUAUAAUAUUUUUCCAUGGAAAUAAAUAGGAGGUAUUACUUUUGCAGUGACUGAUGUACAUAUGGUUUCAACAACCAAUGAAAUGCUCUCAAUGGAUUAUUUGCAAUUUUAUGGCAUCAGAGAUGAUACCUGACAAAGGACUGAAGCCUAAUCUAAAGGCAGGGGAAAGGCUGAAACAAUUCCACUUAGAAGAAGGUUACAAACAGGCUGAGUAUUGCAGCUGGCUGGAAGAAGUUUGUGCUCUGCAGGGCUAAGGUGAAUACAAGUUCACACAGAACAGACAGCACAAUGCUGAUAGCUGACAUUUCUGCUCCAGUCCUUCUCUAAAACCAGUUGUCUAGGCUGAGGCUUGGAUUCCUUCAAAUGAUGUUCCACAGUCACAGCCUGGUAAUGCUGUAUUUUGUUUCAUCACUAUUAUUAAAACUCAAUUUUUUUUAAAAAAAGUUUAAUUCCAAGGAUGUGUUUUGUCAACAAUUAUAAGAUUAAACAGUGGAAGAUCUUAAAUUCAAACAUCUCUGCAAUAGGAAACAGUUGCUAAGGCUACUCAUCUAAGCAACAUGGUGAACCCAAAUCUUUGUUUAACUACUUUUGAAUUCUGAGUCCUACAAAAAGUCUGUUCCUAUUCUUAAAAAAGAUGUAUACUGCUGUGUAACCAUGUUCUAUUCCUACUGUCUGUUCACACAAAUACAUGGGUUCAUAAAAUAGUGUCUCAUAUUAAUUUUUAAAGCCUAUGUUUAAUCAGUAUGUUCACCUUAAAAGCUAUAAAACACAAAAAUUUCUUAUGCAGAAUAUAGGAUGUUUUGGGGUAGUAAAGAACAGUUCCUUGAAGCUUACAUGGGAAAUAAAUAAGGCAUUACUUUUGGAAGUCUGUGCA
RNAcentral lists this long non-coding RNA (885 nucleotides) under Coturnix japonica (Japanese quail). RNAcentral's name for it is "lncRNA (ENSCJPG00005017530.1)". Lineage: Eukaryota; Metazoa; Chordata; Aves; Galliformes; Phasianidae. The record is from RNAcentral.